This is a long non-coding RNA of Malurus melanocephalus (red-backed fairy wren), 2231 nucleotides long. RefSeq lists it as uncharacterized. The transcript has 3 exons. NCBI's taxonomy places the organism in Eukaryota, Metazoa, Chordata, Aves, Passeriformes, Maluridae. The record is from RefSeq and is a predicted model, not a curated record.
AUGAAGGUGAGUAAAUACAGCUUGCCUUGUGAGAAAGAGGAACAACAAUUUUUUCUCCUUCAUACCUGCCUUCAGAAAUCUCACUAGGAUGAAAUGAAGAUACUUUCUCAGGAAAGACCAAGAUCUGCUGUCUAAUAAAGAUUUCCAGUGUUUCUACAGCUCUCUAGGUCAUGAUAGCUGCCCUCUUCCAGUGAGUUGCUUCCAUCGUUUGCAUGACUGCUUAUCAAUUUUUUAAGGUCUGGGAGGCUAUACAUAGAGAUUAGAGAAACACUUUGAUGGUCUCUUUGGCAUUUUGUGGAGSUUUCACAGAAAGACUUUCUGAUUUUUUUUUUAAUUACACUGAGGUAGGGAUGGUGGGGAAGUUGACAAGAAAUGUGCACUAUAAUUAGCAAGUUGGAAACUUGGCAAGAAUUUUCAAUCUUCCUUGGCAUCAGACUGUACAUACUGUAGAUGCCAAACCAUUGACAAAGAUGGGAACAGGAAUGAGAAAAGCAAAGUCAAUACAACAGAUAUAUUGAAUUUCGUCUUGAAAAUGACUGUUUUUAAAAUGGCAUGAACCAAGUCAUUAAAGAUACUUUACAGAAGUCUUCAGAAGUUGCGCAUGGUUAUUCAUCUCUGGUUUAGAAGCACAGAAUUCUAUAAAUGCUUCCAGCCUACAAGAUAAUAAAUUUCUUCAUCCAGCCUCCAAGUCCAGCCGCUCAAGCUCUGGGUGUCAUCGACAUUUUGUGCUUCUUCCCAGUUCUGGAAAACUAUAUGAAUGAUGUCUGUCCUCCUCCCGUGCUAGUUUAUUCACAGCUUCAUCGUAGUUUUGUUACCUCUCCUAACUUGCUGGUUUUUUCAGGUCUGUUUCUAUGAGACUACUGAGUUAACUUCAAAAGUUGGUGCUUGCCUACCUCUACCUCGCUGGUGCUGUGAAUGUUUAGUCUGUUUUAGUUGUGAAAUUCCUCCAAAUUCUCYUAAGGAGUGUAAAUCCUGGUUUUCAAAGUCAGUGCUUCUUUGUAGACUCGCUCCUCGUUUCUUUCCUCACCCUGACAACUCUGCUUGUACAGACAGGACUAGAUGCACUCACGGCUUCUAUUGUGGUUCCUGCAACUCCGUUCUUUAUUCAGCAGUAAGUGAAAAGGGUGUGACUUUUUUCUGUUCUCCCUUGCUUUUUCCCUUCUAGCCACGAAAUGUGUCCCUGCUGUCUCCACUCUUUGAUUCUGAACUACUGGAAUCUUUGAGGGAAUUGUGUGCAAUUUUAGAUGGGACACGCUCUUUUACCUGUUUUGCAUCCCCGUUGUUCCCACGGGUGCAUAGUCCGCGGCCCCCGGCACGCCUGGGUGGCGGCAGUGCGGGGUUGAGCGGCGGCGCGGGGCGGRCGCGCUCGUCCUUCGGCUCCUGCGGGGCUGCGGCCGCCUCGGGGACGGGCGCUGGAGCGGGAUCCCCGCAGCCCGGGCACCCGCACCCCUGCCCGCGGUGCCCCGAGCGMGGCGGGGCGGGCGGGCUGGGCGCGGGGCUGCAGGGGGUCCCUGGUGCCCCCUUCACCCAGCCCGGACGCUGSCGCUGCCSGCAGGAGCUCCGGAGCAGAGCUGGCCGGGCGGGUGUCGGCCGGGGCUGUCCGCAGCAGCCUCUGGUUCGGCACUCACAGCGCUGUGCUCAGGCCGAGGUUCUGCGGGAUGGGCCACGCGGCCGUGGGAAACAGUUCGGGAAUCUUCCUGCCAGGAGCAGCGUGCAAGCAGCUGCGUGUCACCCGAUGAAGCCUGUUUCCAUUCUCAGCGGUUCUGGGUGUUCGGGAGCUUUGGGAAGGGAGGGACUAGCCGGGGAGUUGCUUGUCUUUGUCCUUGCUCAAGGAGAGCCGGGUUUUGCCAAUUCAUUUGAGGCGUUUACACCUCUGAAGUUCUGUAAUAAAUGCUUUGUGUCUCCCAACUCUAACUGUUUUAGGAGAAUGUACCAAGACCCAUUACAUUGUAACUAUGGAGGGCGGUUGGAGGUAUAAAUAUGUUUCCUUUGAGGUUUUUUAUUCCUGUCCUUGCAGGAUUUUCAGAUGUCUCUUCAGAAGAGCUGCAUCUGGAGUAGUAUGACAGCAAACAGUAUAAAUGGGAAAUGUAUACAUGCUGUUGAMCAGUUAGUGCAACAAUGAGAAAAUUGGACUGCUUCAGUUGAAAGCUUUAAAUGCAUCAACAAAAGCAGCUUUGCUCUCUGCUUUCAAGACCACGGGCACUCAAGCAGCACCUGCCUUUGGACUGGGA